Molecule: transfer RNA, 70 nt
Filed under: Cavia porcellus (domestic guinea pig)
Lineage: Eukaryota; Metazoa; Chordata; Mammalia; Rodentia; Caviidae
Rfam family: tRNA
About the family: Transfer RNA (tRNA) molecules are approximately 80 nucleotides in length. Their secondary structure includes four short double-helical elements and three loops (D, anti-codon, and T loops). Further hydrogen bonds mediate the characteristic L-shaped molecular structure. tRNAs have two regions of fundamental functional importance: the anti-codon, which is responsible for specific mRNA codon recognition, and the 3' end, to which the tRNAs corresponding amino acid is attached (by aminoacyl-tRNA synthetases). tRNAs cope with the degeneracy of the genetic code in two manners: having more than one tRNA (with a specific anti-codon) for a particular amino acid; and 'wobble' base-pairing, i.e. permitting non-standard base-pairing at the 3rd anti-codon position.
Source: Rfam by way of RNAcentral
GGGGAUAUAGUUUAGUGGCACAAUGCCUGCUUGGCAAGCAUGAGGUUUUGAGUUUGAUCCCAAGUCCCCU